CUAUUUAUUUAUUUAUUUAUUAUUUUUUUAAUGGACAUGGCCAUGUACUGUAACCUAUGUGCCUUUAGUGUUUAUUACUGCACUGUCUAACAACUAACAUGAUUAACAGUGAUGGUCUAUGAUGGGUCGAGGGAGGCGUCUGGCCCUUGGCAUCUUUGUCCUGCUGGUGGUCGACGUCAUUUGGGUGGCUUCAUCAGAAUUGUCGGAGUAUAUCUUCAAUGAUACCGGCUUCAAUAAACCUUUUUUCAGUACAUACUUAAAGACCAGUAUGUUUUCACUAUAUUUGCUGGGAUUUAUAUUUUGGAGCCCCUGGAGACACCAAUGUGCCCAAAGAAACCACGAUGAGAGUAUUUACCAGGUAAGUUAUUUAUUGCAAUUCAUAUUAGAUUAUUUUUUUGAUAUUUUUUAUAUGUGAUAUGGAAAUAAAUUUAUUUUAGGGUAAUUGUGUUGCUCUUUUUUCUGUGUUAACUAGACUUGAGUCAUGCUAUACAUACUGUAGAAUAUUUACUGAUUACAAAAGGCAUUGGUUAUUCCUUUUAUUUCCAAGGCCUCCAGACCACCAUUUUAUUUCAUAACUUUGCCUUCUCUUUCCCCCUUAUCCCCUUCACUUCCUCUUGUGCUGAAUAGAAUCAUCUGGCAUUAGCCAAAUGAAAUAUUUAAGAGACAAUGAAGGGGUUAAUACAGUAAAACCUUUAUCGUUUAUCAAUCAAUACUUUACAAAUUGGCUAGUUCAUACAUGCAGUUCAAUGUGUGUUAUGUUCACCAAAAAUUAAAUAUUUUACACUUCCAUCAAUAUUGCAAAAUAUAAAAUUAAAAAUAUAAGAAAAUGUGUUCAACAAAAAACAAUAGCAAAGCAAGUAGUGAUGUACAGUAUGUUCAUUGUACAGCCCAUUCUUCCUGCAUCACCUGAAGAGGCACUGGGAGGGAGUGUAUAUUAAUAUGAAGUGAAAAAUGUAUUGUCAAAGCACUUGGUCAGUAAUGUGUCCAAAUUUAAGCUUUCUAGCUCAAAAAUUUCCAUAAAUAACAUCCAGACAACAUUAAGUGUUGAGUUGAGUAUGCUUCUAAUAUUCUCUUGCUAUUACAGGAAGUGGAUUCAAUGGAGGAUGAAGAUUUACCGCUGUCAGAUGUUUGGUAUGUUGAAUUGUACUUGCCAUUUGUAGUUGUGAUGUAAUAAAGUAUUAUGUUGAUGGAAUUGUGAAUGGGUGCUUGUAGUACUUAAUUGUAUUAUUAACUCCUUCACUUCAGUGUUCAAAUUAUGCAAAGUAUAAAUAGAUUUUGCGCCUUAAUCCUUACAAUAAUUUUGUGUCAUUUAUAUUAAGGUGAUACAGCAAUUAUUAAAGCAUAAUAUUUCAUAGCUAAAUAGAGUAAUUUCUUAUUGCUGGCUUUGUUCCAACAAUUUCAGAAAGAGACUCAAUUAUAGCCUCAAAUCUGGUGUAAAAGCAUGUUGUUGAUAAGCCUCCAAACUCCUCAUUGCUCAUGCCCCUCAUUGUUAUCUCUACCAUUAGCAUUGGGGAGUUCUGAUGGUCAGUCGUCAUUGUUAUUGUCACUGCUGUCGAUACCUUUCUUUUCUAUAUCUCUAAAUUAGGUGUAAAUUAAUGUAAAAAUAACAGUAAAUUUAUUGUGUGGCAGUUGUGGUAAGACUGGUGGAGGAGUGUGGUGUUUUUUUUUAUGAGGGAAAGACAAUUGUUUGAAGACCGGGUUGGGCAAAGUGUUUUAUAACCAUUUUCCACGUUUGUGUGGAUUAGCCGUGAUUAUCUGAUGGCAACUUUCCAUUCUACAGUCUUUUGCAUUCCCUCUUGUCAGGUUCUUAACUCUUAAUGUCAUUUCUUACAACCUCUCCCCAUGUCAUUCUUGGCUCUUCUCCCCCCACAUUUAGACUCAUACACCUCUUGACCUAAUUAGUGUGAUUCAUUCUCCAAAAUUCCAAACCAUCUCAGCAUACUGCUACACAGAAUUUUGCCAAUAGAACUCAAUACCAGCCACCCUCUUACCUCUGAAAAGGAUUUUUUGUCUUUCAGUGCCACAUUGCAUAUCCACCUCACUAGUCUCAUUUAACUUGAUGGAUAAAUGUAUUGCAACUGCAUAGGUUGUAGUAGAGUGGUGUGGUCCAAAAUUGUUUGGGUACACCUGUUUAAAAUUUGCAUGACAGGAGAAAUUAUGUAUUAAUGAAUAUAUGUAGCACAUAGUGAAAAGUGUUCACUUACUUAAAAAUUUCUUCUAUACAAAAGUCUAUUCAGUAUACAGACUGCAUAUAGUGAGGGAUAUCUAUACUUAAACACUUGUCAAAAGGUUACUUUUAACAAGUUUUAUGAACAAUCUGAAACCCAGAGAAUACAUUAAUUCUUUAGAAGUUGCUAUUUUGCAUGACCUGGCAUUUUCUGAGAACGCAGCUACUGCACUGUGUGGAGUUUUACUGUGCUCAGAAACCUUCACCUAUGUCAUUGAUGAGGACCUCAGAUGACUACGUACCUGAGGCUGAUUACCCCCAUUUUGUUAUUUAUUUUUUUCCCAAGUUUUUAUCCAUUUUAUUAUUAUUAUUUUUUACAGGGAUUAGCCCACCCGGGCACAGGUCACUGACCCACAUCGGGGCCUGGGGGCGAAAAUGUCAGGAAAUCUUAAUCAAAUUUAUGGAAAAUAUUUUUUAAUGUUUUACCAAUAAUUAUCAGGGUUUAUACUGAUUAUUGUAAUGUAUAUUAUAGAAGUAUUUAUUUUUAUUACUCUUCUUAUUAAUAUGAAGCUCUUGCAGACGAGAGACAGGCGCACCCCUCCACCUGUGCCCAUCUUCACUUUGGACCAGCUGGCAUCUAGUGUUGCGAGAGACAGUGAUGCGAAUGCUCAACUGACACAUUUGGUCCUGUGGCACUAUUUACCCAUUCAACAAGCUAGAACGAUUUAUAACAACAAUGAUGAAAAGAGUGAACCAAAGUAUGUUCCUCUGAAACUACAAGAAUUGCAAGAAAAAAGCUCUGAUGGAGAAUCUGAUGACUCUUCAGUAAAGUCCGUCCGCUUCAGCAAAUUGACAGAGGUAUGUAGUGAUGCUUCUUUUAAGAGAAUACCAGUAACUAUUUAAAUUUAAAGGUAAGUCUAGAUUGUUGGGAAUGUAAUUACUGAAAGUGAAGAUCUUCAACAAAUUCUUUAUGUCCAGGGCUUAGUUUUGGAAUUUCUGUAGUUCAAGACAGAGUUAAUAUGAUUUAAAUCAGAGUGAAAAAAUCAUGAUUAGAUUUUAUUUUACUUAUUUUUUUUAUACUAAUAAUAGAAACUAUAUUUUCCCUUGAGAUUCUUUGUGGUAGUAUAGCUACAGUUGAUAUAAUUCAGCUCCCCACUAACUUGAAUAAUUGAUGCAGAGCUCUUCCGGGAAUGAGAGAUUUCCCGGUAAUGAUACAAAUUUCUCAAACCCGGAAAAUUCAACAUUCCUGGAAUUUUUUAUUGGUAAAAGAAUACUACUUCGCUAUUCGCAACCCCAUUCUCAUGGUGGGAGGCUACUGUCUUGCCUUUCAAGAAGACUUGAAAAGAGGCUCUUUGCCCUCGAGAAUAUUGCCCCAUAGUUCUUAUCUCCUGUAUCUGCAAGCUGUUUGAAAAGAUGGUCAAGUCUCGAUUAGUAUACUACCUGGGGAAGAAUGCCCUUCUUUCACCAUAUUAAUCUGGCUUCCGGAUGAUGCUGCAACAACAGAUGCUCUUGUUUGUAUUGAGUCCUCGGUCUGUGAGUCCUUUGCUCAUUGCCAACAUCUCAUCUGUAUUUAUUCGACCUAGAGAAAGCAUAUGACACAGCUUGGAGAUUCGGCAUCUUUAAGGACCUUCAAAAUUUUGGCUUGCAGGGAAAUUUACCAUCAAUAAUAGGUCAGUUCUUGGGCUGUUGGACUUUUAGGGUCCACAUUGCCACAGAAAUGUCAGCACCACAUAUUCAGGACCAUUGCAAUAAAUGGGGUAACAGCUUCUCAUUGUAUGUAGACAACUUGGCCACUUGGUAUGCAGCUUCCCGCAAGUUAGUGGCUGAACGUCACAUGCAACUUGCACUAGAUAAGGCUUUUCAUUGGACCACAGAGCAUGGUUUCAA
Homarus americanus (American lobster) is the source of this 4054-nucleotide RNA transcript. It is a transcript of the gene named solute carrier family 35 member F5-like, with no coding region annotated. The transcript is spliced from 3 exons. The record is from RefSeq and is a predicted model, not a curated record. NCBI's taxonomy places the organism in Eukaryota, Metazoa, Arthropoda, Malacostraca, Decapoda, Nephropidae.